ACGGGGGCAGCAGUGGGGAAUAUUGGACAAUGGGGGAAACCCUGAUCCAGCGACGCCGCGUGAGUGAAGAAGUAUUUCGGUAUGUAAAGCUCUAUCAGCAGGGAAGAUAAUGACGGUACCUGACUAAGAAGCCCCGGCUAACUACGUGCCAGCAGCCGCGGUAAUACGUAGGGGGCAAGCGUUAUCCGGAUUUACUGGGUGUAAAGGGAGCGUAGACGGUAUGGCAAGUCUGAUGUGAAAACCCAAGGCUCAACCAUGGGACUGCAUUGGAAACUGUCAAACUAGAGUGCAGGAGGGGUAAGCGGAAUUCCUAGUGUAGCGGUGAAAUGCGUAGAUAUUAGGAGGAACACCGGUGGCGAAGGCGGCUUACUGGACUGUAACUGACGUUGAGGCUCGAAAGCGUGGGGAGCAAACAGGAUUAGAUACCCUGGUA
RNAcentral lists this ribosomal RNA (433 nucleotides) under uncultured Lachnospiraceae bacterium. RNAcentral's name for it is "partial 16S ribosomal RNA". It matches the Rfam family "Bacterial small subunit ribosomal RNA", at positions 341 to 792 of the family's 1533-position model. The record is from RNAcentral. Lineage: Bacteria; Bacillati; Bacillota; Clostridia; Lachnospirales; Lachnospiraceae.